This is a long non-coding RNA of Musa acuminata AAA Group (dessert banana), 320 nucleotides long. RefSeq lists it as uncharacterized. The transcript is spliced from 3 exons. NCBI's taxonomy places the organism in Eukaryota, Viridiplantae, Streptophyta, Magnoliopsida, Zingiberales, Musaceae. The record is from RefSeq and is a predicted model, not a curated record.
GCAAAAGCAGCAUGUGUAUUGAUUGAUUUAUGCUUUGGACCAUUAUCACCAUGGAUAUAUACAAUUACUGCAAAGGUUGAUCUUGCAAUUGAACUUCCGGAGGACCUCUUGGUGUUAUUCAAGUGGCUGAUCAAGAGUCUUUAGCUGUUUCUUCUGACUUUGUGAUAUGUUCUCAUGGGGCUUCUAGCACAUCCAGUAAUCUGGAUGAAGCAAAGAGAAAGAUUGAUGCAUCUAAAGCUGCCACAAGAAAAGAUGUACUCCAAGAUGCUAAUCUGUAGUUUGCUCCUAGAGAUCUGUCAAAAAUUGUUUUGACAAGUGUU